RNAcentral lists this ribosomal RNA (513 nucleotides) under uncultured rumen archaeon. Its description in RNAcentral is "bacterial SSU rRNA". It matches the Rfam family "Archaeal small subunit ribosomal RNA", at positions 137 to 650 of the family's 1478-position model. The record is from RNAcentral.
AAACUGAGGAUAAUACCGGAUAGGCAAUUAUUCCUGUAAUGGUUUUUUGUUUAAAUGUUUUUUCGCCUAAGGAUGAGUCUGCGGCCGAUUAGGUAGUUGGUUAGGUAAUGGCUUACCAAGCCGUUGAUCGGUACGGGUUGUGAGAGCAAGAGCCCGGAGAUGGAACCUGAGACAAGGUUCCAGGCCCUACGGGGUGCAGCAGGCGCGAAACCUCCGCAAUGUGAGAAAUCGCGACGGGGGGAUCCCAAGUGCCAUUCUUAACGGGAUGGCUUUUCAUUAGUGUAAAGAGCUUUUGGAACAAGAGCUGGGCAAGACCGGUGCCAGCCGCCGCGGUAACACCGGCAGCUCUAGUGGUAACAAUUUUUAUUGGGCCUAAAGCGUCCGUAGCCGGUUUAAUAAGUCUCUGGUGAAAUCCUGUAGCUUAACUGUGGGAAUUGCUGGAGAUACUAUUAGACUUGAGACCGGGAGAGGUUAGAGGUACUCUCAGGGUAGAGGUGAAAUUCUGUAAUCCUG